Columba livia (rock pigeon) is the source of this 476-nucleotide long non-coding RNA. RefSeq lists it as uncharacterized. The transcript has 3 exons. Lineage: Eukaryota; Metazoa; Chordata; Aves; Columbiformes; Columbidae. The record is from RefSeq and is a predicted model, not a curated record.
AUGCGCGAACGCUCCUCUCUGAGGAGAGGUGCGAGGGCGGCGGCCGCGGCGCCGGGGGUCGGUCGCCGUUCCCGUAUUUGAGGGGCUCGGGCCGGGGCCGCUCUCCCCUCAUCGCCGGUACGUAGUGUGGCUAAGCCCCUUGUGCUGGCGGUGCCCGCAGAGCCAUCGGUCACCAGCUUGCCCAGAACCACCAGUGUCAUGAAGAACUGCUUCCAUCUAGGGGGAUAAGGAAAGGAAACAUCAGGAUUUAAGAGGAGAGAUCUGCUGAGUAAAGGAUUUUUGGAUCACUCGUUGUGGCACAGGAGAAAUAACUUCUGAGGGCAAGAGGUGCAAUUCUGGAUAUCUCUGUAUUUAUAAAUCCUGGCGACAGAGGGGUCUGAAAUAUUCAUGGUCUGAGAAGCUGGGAACUGGAACCAGGUUUCCUUUUGGAUCCAACUGAUUUACUAUGGAUUCGGUGAGUUUUUUAAACAUCCUGC